This 238-nucleotide unclassified non-coding RNA is filed under the name Hevea brasiliensis (rubber tree). The record is from RNAcentral. Lineage: Eukaryota; Viridiplantae; Streptophyta; Magnoliopsida; Malpighiales; Euphorbiaceae.
UCGCCAUCGUCAAUGGCACGUCCGUGGGGUCGGCGCUCGCGGCCACCGUGAUGUUCGACGCCAACAUCCUCGCCGUCCUGUCCGAGGUGCUCUCGGCGGUGUUCUGCGAGGUGAUGAACGGCAAGCCGGAGUACACCGACCACCUGACCCACAAGCUGAAGCACCACCCUGGGUCGAUCGAGGCCGCCGCCAUCAUGGAGCACAUCCUCGCCGGAAGCUCAUACAUGAAAAUGGCGGC